ACUCCUACGGGAGGCUGCAGUGGGGAAUAUUGCACAAUGGGGGAAACCCUGAUGCAGCGACGCCGCGUGAGUGAAGAAGUAUUUCGGUAUGUAAAGCUCUAUCAGCAGGGAAGAAAAUGACGGUACCUGACUAAGAAGCCCCGGCUAACUACGUGCCAGCAGCCGCGGUAAU
This 172-nucleotide ribosomal RNA is filed under the name uncultured bacterium. RNAcentral's name for it is "partial 16S ribosomal RNA". It matches the Rfam family "Bacterial small subunit ribosomal RNA", at positions 335 to 524 of the family's 1533-position model. The record is from RNAcentral.